RNAcentral lists this microRNA precursor (67 nucleotides) under Bombyx mori (domestic silkworm). RNAcentral's name for it is "mir-2774 microRNA precursor family". It matches the Rfam family "mir-2774 microRNA precursor family". Lineage: Eukaryota; Metazoa; Arthropoda; Insecta; Lepidoptera; Bombycidae. The record is from Rfam by way of RNAcentral.
ACAACAUUAGGACCGUCAGUCUACCGAGCAGUUUCACUUGCUCGGUGGAAGAUCUUCUCUUUGUCUU